RNAcentral lists this long non-coding RNA (366 nucleotides) under Linum usitatissimum (flax). RNAcentral's name for it is "long non-coding RNA (LUSI_LNC003668)". The record is from RNAcentral. Lineage: Eukaryota; Viridiplantae; Streptophyta; Magnoliopsida; Malpighiales; Linaceae.
UAUGGGUGUAGAGAUAUUGUUUUGUUGGUGAUAUCUUUUUUAUUGGUAGACCCUUUUGUGCGUAGAUUUAUGUUUAGGUUUUUUGUUUUUUUUAUGGUCAAAGAACUUUGUUAUGAAAAUAGGGUAUAGAUCCAAAGUGUAAAUUGAUUUAUUAAUGCUUUGUUUGCAGUUUGUACAUUUGGGAGGGACAUUUUGUUUUGAUUUGAUGUUCGACUGUUAGAUCGUUGAAGCAGAUUCCAUGAUGUUGAAAAAUUCCAAUUACAUGUAGGGCGAUACAACCAUCAACUUUAUUUUGAUGAUCAUAAUCUCAAUGAUAUUUUAGCCCUCAAAGUGAAUGAACAAGACCCAUAUGUUACAUCACCUUGA